This 446-nucleotide ribosomal RNA is filed under the name uncultured bacterium. RNAcentral describes it as "partial 16S ribosomal RNA". It matches the Rfam family "Bacterial small subunit ribosomal RNA", at positions 338 to 795 of the family's 1533-position model. The record is from RNAcentral.
CCUACGGGAGGCUGCAGUCGAGAAUCAUUCACAAUGGGGGAAACCCUGAUGGUGCGACGCCGCGUGGGGGAAUGAAGGUCUUCGGAUUGUAAACCCCUGUCAUGUGGGAGCAAAUUAAAAAGAUAGUACCACAAGAGGAAGAGACGGCUAACUCUGUGCCAGCAGCCGCGGUAAUACAGAGGUCUCAAGCGUUGUUCGGAAUCACUGGGCGUAAAGCGUGCGUAGGCUGUUUCGUAAGUCGUGUGUGAAAGGCGCGGGCUCAACCCGCGGACGGCACAUGAUACUGCGAGACUAGAGUAAUGGAGGGGGAACCGGAAUUCUCGGUGUAGCAGUGAAAUGCGGAGAUAGCGAGAGGAACACUCGUGGCGAAGGCGGGUUCCUGGACAUUAACUGACGCUGAGGCGCGAAGGCCAGGGGAGCGAAAGGGAUUAGAUACCCCAGUAGUC